UGGGGAAUAUUGGACAAUGGGCGGAAGCCUGAUCCAGCAAUGCCGCGUGCAGGAUGAAGGCCUUCGGGUUGUAAACUGCUUUUGUACGGAACGAAAAGCUUCGGGCUAAUACCCUGGAGUCAUGACGGUACCGUAAGAAUAAGCACCGGCUAACUACGUGCCAGCAGCCGCGGUAAUACGUAGGGUGCAAGCGUUAAUCGGAAUUACUGGGCGUAAAGCGUGCGCAGGCGGUUUUGUAAGACAGAGGUGAAAUCCCCGGGCUCAACCUGGGAACUGCCUUUGUGACUGCAAGGCUAGAGUACGGCAGAGGGGGAUGGAAUUCCGCGUGUAGCAGUGAAAUGCGUAGAUAUGCGGAGGAACACCGAUGGCGAAGGCAAUCCCCUGGGCCUGUACUGACGCU
RNAcentral lists this ribosomal RNA (400 nucleotides) under uncultured bacterium. RNAcentral's name for it is "bacterial SSU rRNA". It matches the Rfam family "Bacterial small subunit ribosomal RNA", at positions 355 to 747 of the family's 1533-position model. The record is from RNAcentral.